RNAcentral lists this long non-coding RNA (942 nucleotides) under Sus scrofa (pig). Its description in RNAcentral is "lncRNA (ENSSSCG00005007846.1)". Lineage: Eukaryota; Metazoa; Chordata; Mammalia; Artiodactyla; Suidae. The record is from RNAcentral.
AACAGGAAAAAAUGAAUACGUCAACUUGCACUUCUGUUCUUAAAGAUUCCUCUGGAACAAUGAAUCUGGGCCAGCUUCCCCAGACCCUUUAGGCCUUAGCUCUCUUUGGUGCAUUAAGGAAUAUUUCCUGAGUCCACUCUUCCCACAGUUUGGGAAUAUGGAGCAGCAGACAAAGCAGAUAGGAUACCUAUUCUCAGAAACUUAAACGUAGCUGGAGAGGUAGAACAGUGCAUAUAGCCAUCGAGGUUGACUGUAGCCGUGGGGCAGGCUGGCUUGAUUUGGCCCAGGACUGAAUGGGAGGAGAAACAUGCUGGAUCCAGUGCAGAGCAGUAUAUUACUUUAUUCCUGUAGUCAAUGGAGUAGAUACUGUUUUAUUUAAUUCUCUGUGAAUCACAGGGGUGGCAUUCAUUUGUUCAAACAUUCAUUCAUCCAAUAAGCAAUUUUUUUUUUUUUUUUUUGGCCGCUCCCAUGGCACAUGGAAGUUCCUGGGCUAGGGACUGGACUUGUGCCAUAGCAAUGACUCGAGCUGCCGCAGCGGCCAUACCAGACCCUUAACCUGCUGCACCGCAAGAGAACUCCCGAUUAAGUAAGCAACUUCUAGCUGCCAGACCCUGUUAGGGGUAAUGGACAAGACAGUCACAGUACUACCCAUAAGAAUUUGAGGGUCUCAAGGGAGAAAAGACAUUGAAUAAUUACAGAGUUAAAGGUUAAGAGAUGAAGGAUCAAUUCCACCCCUCCCCAGAAGUUAACUCAGUGGCUGCUGCACAGAGAUUUUGGAAAGUCAGACCCAAAAGAUGCUUUGGGCCAGCCCCAAGGAGAAGAGUGUGGCUUCCUCCUCGUCUGGUCCCCAGUGCUCACAGCAUUGAUGCUGGCAGCUGCGAGAGGGGAGAGGCCAAGGCCCCGAGGUGGAGAAACUCGGGCUCUCCCCGAGUAGCUGCCCCG